GGAGAGGUGGCCGAGCGGCUGAAGGCACUCGCCUGCUAAGCGAGUAGGGGGCGACAAGCUCUCUCGAGGGUUCGAAUCCCUCCCUCUCCG
Molecule: transfer RNA, 90 nt
Filed under: Solirubrobacterales bacterium
Lineage: Bacteria; Bacillati; Actinomycetota; Thermoleophilia; Solirubrobacterales
Description: tRNA-Ser
Rfam family: tRNA
About the family: Transfer RNA (tRNA) molecules are approximately 80 nucleotides in length. Their secondary structure includes four short double-helical elements and three loops (D, anti-codon, and T loops).
Source: RNAcentral